RNAcentral lists this non-coding RNA (45 nucleotides) under Trichobilharzia regenti. The record is from RNAcentral. Lineage: Eukaryota; Metazoa; Platyhelminthes; Trematoda; Strigeidida; Schistosomatidae.
ACCCAGUAGGUGAGUCCCAAAUAGGACGAAAUACGUAUCCUGGAU